Molecule: ribosomal RNA, 385 nt
Filed under: uncultured bacterium
Lineage: Bacteria
Description: bacterial SSU rRNA
Rfam family: Bacterial small subunit ribosomal RNA
Source: RNAcentral
AAGGUACCUGAUGAAUAAACCACGGCUAAAUACGUGCCAGCAGCAGCGGUAAUACGUAGGUUGCAAGCGUUGUCCGGAUUUAUUGGGUUUAAAGGGUGCGUAGGCGGUUCCAUAAGUCAGUGGUGAAAUACAAUAGCUUAACUAUUGAGGUGCCAUUGAUACUGCGGAACUUGAGUACAGACGAGGUAGGCGGAAUUGACGGUGUAGCGGUGAAAUGCUUAGAUAUCGUCAAGAACACCGAUAGCGAAGGCAGCUUACUAGACUGUAACUGACGCUGAGGCACGAAAGUGUGGGGAUCAAACAGGAUUAGAUACCCUGGUAGUCCACACUGUAAACGAUGAUUACUCGAUGUUGGCGAUACACAGCUCAGCGUCUCAACAAAAAC